Molecule: long non-coding RNA, 6473 nt
Organism: Sapajus apella (tufted capuchin)
Lineage: Eukaryota; Metazoa; Chordata; Mammalia; Primates; Cebidae
Exons: 2
Source: RefSeq, a predicted model, not a curated record
GGCCAGGCUGGCAUCAAACUCCUGACCUCAAGGGAUUUGCUUGCCUCAGCCUCCCAAAGUGCUGAAAUUGCAGGCAUGAGCCACCAUGCCUGGCCCAUCACAUUCAAUCUUAAUCCCCUGUUCUCCAAAUAUCCACUGUGAGUUCUCUGUUAUUCAGGUACGAAACUGUAGGCAACUGAGUGGAAGAUAGUUAUUGUGGAUAGAAAAGAAUGCAAAAUAGGUGUCAUUAGUGAUGUCAGACUGACAAUGCCACAUUGUUGAAUUGAUUGUUGGUAAUGAAUUCAUUCAGUCUUCCAUGUGUUUAUUCUUUCAUUCACAUAGUAAUCAUUUAUUUAAACAUUUAUGAAAAAUUUAGCAUAUGCUGGGCACUAUAGGAACAGAGAAAGAAAUAAGGCUCUUCUGAAAAGCAUAUAAAUAAAAGUAAAUAUGUUGGUCACACUCAGGCUUGUCUGAAACAAAUGAGAAAUCUCUGUAUAUCAGUAUAAAAAAACACUAAAUAUGAUUUAUUUAUAUUAGUAUAACACAACACUAAAUCUAAAUCUAAAUAUAUGUUAUUUAUUUUACUUUUCUAGCAACUUCUCAAUAUAGUCACACAAUACUUUGCACUAUAUAAAGUACAUUUCACACCUCAUCUUAAUCCCAAGCUAUAUUAAGAAAGCUAUUGUUUCUAAAAUAGUGGUAAUUAGUUAUAAAGGUGUUGUUACAGUAGAGCCACAUAUUCUUCCUAAAUUUUAAGAAUAUUGUACAGUCUGAUAUGUUAAUGUUUAAGAAAUUAACUGAUGUCUUCUGAAAAAAUGUAUUUAAUCCACAGUACAUGUGCCAUUACAUUUAACAAAACUAAAAAAAUAGCAACUUCUGUGGAAGGUAAUUGGAGAUACUUUAAUUCUGUAUAAAGAACAUGGCAUACUUUGAAUGCAAGUGUCAAAAAUUUACGCUUAUAGUCGGAUUCUACAUUCCACUUGGUGUUUUAGUGUGCCUCCAAAUUAUUGUAUUAUUUAAUGUUAUUUCUUAAUAAUGUUCCAAGUGUCUUCAAGAGAAUAGAAAAGAAUGUGUAAAGUUAGAACAAUAUAUAGAUUUCAGUAAAAUCAGUUGCAAUCAUUUCUCUUAUCAGUGUGAUUGCAGAUGAUUUAACAUUGAUAUAUUUAUCAUUUAGAAGGCUUUAAGAUACAUAUCAUGCAUUGGAUUUCACAACAAGUACAUCCUUUUCCAUGGCUAUUUGCUGUAUGAUAGCAGAAUAGGAGUGCUCUACAAGUUUUCACCUCAUCAUAACCUACUGAAAAAAAAAGAAUGAAUCAUCAAAUACCUACAGAGUGACAAUUUUAUAAUGGAGCUAUUGCGUUUGUUAGUGUAUUUAUGGUAUCUGAAUUAAUCACAGUUUUAAAAUUCUAUGAAAUCUUUACUUGAAAAUAUUCUGUCCAUAUAUAACAAUCUAUGCUGGCUAUUUUACAAUUUUGAUUAUUUUAUAACAAAUCAUUCUGCAUUUUCUCUAAAAUUUAUAUCUUGACAUUUUGAUGUAAGAGUCUAAUAGUGUUUCAUUUUAAAGAAUAAAAUAUGCAUGGAGUUUUGUAUGAGGAAAUUAUAACAAUAAAAGAAACAUAGGGCCAUUUGUCUGGCAUACUAAUUUUAGCCUUUAUUUCACCCAGUUAUACUUGGAAUUGUGAUUCUGCUCAUGAACUUGUGUCAAGCAAUGGACAGAACAUUUUUGAGUAGCGUUGAUGCCUUUUACAUUGUUCUGCUUCUCUUGCUAUUCAGCAAUGCACAUUCUGAUGUACCUGUAUAUUAGCAUAUGUAAAUUGAACUUAGUUUAAAAACAUCAAUUGCUUGUUUUAGGGCAAAUGCUAUGUUGGUGCAAAGGAGCUAGGCUGAAUAAUGUAUCUCUUCUGCCAUCAUUGAACUUGAAAGCUUAUAAGAAAGACAAGCAAAUCAGUAGGUACAAAAGACAUCUAACCAUUCAGGAAAUUCUGCCAACUCUCUUGAAUGUAUGUCCAGAAUUAGACCAUUUCUCACUAUCACCAUCACUGCCAUCUUGAUCCAAAUCACUCAUCACUCACCUGGACUAUCAUAGUAAAUCCCUCAUUCAUCUCUCUUGUUUCUGUUCUUGCUCCUCCCAACUCUUUGUCCUAACAUCAAAAAGUAACAAAAGUCAUUAAAAAAAUAAAAGUCAGAUUAUGUUACUCUUACACUCAAAACCUUCCAAUGGCUCCCUAAAUCACUUGCUGUAAAAUUCAAAAUACAAUGGUCUAAAGCGCUGUACAUCACCUGGUCCUGUGAAAACUCUGACACAAAUUCCUUCUCUUUCUCGUUUACUCUAUUCCAGCCACAAGGGCCUCUAUUUUGUUCCUAAACACUGUAAGCAUGCCCAAUUUUAGGCCUUUGCACUUGCUGCUCCCUCAAGUUGAAACAGUCUUCCCCCACCCCAUAUUGCUGUACUUAUUUCCAUCCACACUCAGAUAUUAUCGUAUUAGUGAGUCCUUCCGUUGUAGGUCAAAUAGCCACCUCCACCCUUGCAGCUUUUCCUGUUUUUUUUUUUUUCUACUGUGUUGUAUUUUUCUACACAUAGCUUACAUCCCUCUGACCCAUCAUUCAUUUAUUUGUUAAAUGUUCAUUGUCUUGUCAUACUAUAUGUAAAUACUGUGAGUAUAGCGAUUUAUGUAUUUUGUUCACUGCUACAGCUAUGGCUUGAAAAACUGUCUAUUUUUCUAACGUUUAUUAUCUCUGCUUUCAUUGUUUUCACCUGUUAUGUUUAUUUGAUAAGUCCUUAUUACUUUUUAAAAAAUAUUUCUAUAAAAAUCUUUGCCUUUUAAUAUUGGUCUUUAAUACAAUUACAUUUAUUAUCAUACCUGGUAUUGAAUUUUACUAAUUUUUGGUUUUUAUACUCUUUCUACUUUAUUGACCUUUAUGCUUUAUAUCUUUAUGCUUUUUUGGCAUUUUCUUUUUUAUAACUUUCCUAUAUAGACUAAAUUUUCUUUGCUUUUCUGUUCCCAGUAAUUUGAACAAUAUAUCUCCCGGUCUCGGUUUUAGAUUAUGGUCAUGUUUAUAUUUUUAUAAGUCACUGUUAAACCUAUUUCCUCUACUUAACAUGAGUGAGACGAGAGUCCUAGCUUUUGGCCAAGCUACAGCUACGACUGGUAUGCAGACAUUCUGGUUUGCCUUCCCGAAGGGAAUAUGCUUUAGAUAGUUGUCAUGAGAAGUUUUGUGGACACAGGGAACAUAAAGAAUUAUCAGUCUGGGAAGAGGAGUUUUUCUAGGGUGGCCCCAUCUGAGACUGGUCCCAGGCUCCACCUCAAAGUUUCAGUUCUGAGAUCUUGGAGGAACAUGUUGUACAUGGGAGUCACAUUGCCCUUUUCACCAGAGUAUCUCUGGUUCUCAGGUGUCCAAAGAUAGCACAUAACUGGGGAAAGGGAGCUCUUCUUGCUUUGGCAUGAAGCAUAGCGUAGCACUGAAAUUCAAAGACGUGAGGAAUUUAAAAAGCAGAGUCAAAUUUUCAAGUGAGGGAUUUGUAGCAGCCUGGGUUAUAAUAACCUUGUAUGCCAUUGUAGGCACUUACCAAAAGGGACCUUAGUGUGGUGCCUUUGAAUGGCUACACUAGUGAUGGACAGUAAGGAGCAGAGCUGAAGAAGGAGCUGAGGAACUGGCACAGAGCAGCUGAAAAGAAGUCUUUGUUAGCAUGUGUGACAUAGUUUUGGGUGCCUAGAAGUUGUUGGAAUAGAUUACUCCAAAAGGUAGAGGCUUUACACUAGUAGGUGUGAUAGUGGGAAGAUGGCUUAUACAGUCAAAUCCAAGAACAUAUUAUAACUCUACAUUCCCCUGAUAAAAAGCAACAAACUUAAUAUGCCUCUAUUUCCCAUUCCUCUUCUACUCAAUAUUUUCUAGUGUAAUUGAAAUUAGAGUGAAUUUUAAUUGAUUUUUUUCUUACUCUUACAUUAAAUAUCUUCUUUUUCAAGAAUAAUUUUUGCCCUUACAAUUUAAUGUUGUUAUAUUCACUAAAAUCAUUUAGAAAAAUGUUUGACUGGUGGUAGUGUUCUCUGGAAUUUUAUAUACGAUGUUUUCUUCAUUUAUGUCUUUUUAUUUUCCAUUAAUUUCUCACAAAAUACAUCUUUGUGUAAGAGUCCACGAUGUGUGUAUAUUUUUAUCCUUUGAAUAUCUGGUUAUUUCCUCCCAUUGUUUUUAGAUAGACAAGGGCUUAGCUUGGGUGUUGCUAGCUCUUACUCUCACCUGAACUCCAGAAUCCUGUGGCUAUCUAACGGUCAUCUCCACUUGAAAAGAUAUCUCUGUUAAUAUGUUACAUUAGGUAAUUGUAUAACAUAUUAACAGAGAUAUCUUUUAAAAAUUGAAAUUUCAGGGGCAUAAUAAUGUUAUUUUGGUUUUUCAGGGAAAUAUACUUGUUCUUAGGAUAUAUGUGUUGAAGUAUUAGGUGUCUUAGCAACUUUGAAAAUGUACCGCUCGGAUCUCCUGUAGACAGGAGCAAAAUUGACUACCCUGGUAGCUUUAUGUCAUGUACCUCCCUGUUCAAGCCAGUGUACCCUUCAUGCUGCUCCCAGUCUGUGGCUGUGCAUAGUAGGUGUACUAAUGCAACUCAUGCCCUUAAGAAGCGGGACUCCAUUAACAGAUGGCUUGGGCUCAAGGAUUGAGCCAUUGGCCUUAGCCAAAACUUACUCAGAAAUGUGCUGCAUUCUGAAAUUUUUUCUCCCCAGUCUCCUUGUCUCCCUGUUCUUCACAGGAGUCUCAAGUAUCUCUCAGCCUUCACCUGCUGCGCCAACUGUUUACUUCUCACAGCCCACACAAUACACCUCUUGUAAGUCCAAUUCUAUACUGGCACCUACUUCACAGAGGGUCUGAGCCUACAGGAUUACAUGCUAUAAUGUCCAAGUGGUUCAGAAGGAAAGUGUACGUGUGUGUGUGUGUGUGUGUGUGUGUGUGUGUGAGAGAGAGAGAGAGAGAGAGAGAGAGAGAGAGAGAAAGAGAGAGAGAGCAAGAGAGAUGGAGAGAAAAAAGAAAAAAGGAAGAGAGCAAAUGUUUCAAAAUAUUAAUAAUUGAUACAUUUAGGAGAAUACUAUGUGUAUUCAUUUCACUAUUCUUUUUAAGAUUUGAAAGUUUUUAAGUAAAACGUGGCUGCUAAAAUAUAAAAAUUUAAAAAUUACUAAAAAAAGAGAUAUAUAAAGCUCAACAUGUGUGUUGACGAGGCAUCUAUUUCCAAUUUCAACCUCUAUUCUCCCCAGUAACAAAUCCCUGAUUUUAUUGGGCCACAUUGCAUCCAACCUAGAAUUUUAUUUCAAUUAAAACAUCAACUGACUCUCACAUUCAAGCAAUGGAAAUACAAGAAAACAUGUUAUAUGGGAUUGUGGGAAAUCUUCAUAAAAGGUGGAAGAGCAACUACUGGAAUUGUCCUGAGUCUCUAUGAAGUUUAAAGGCUCUUCCUGAUAUUUGACAAGCCCUAGAACCUGCCAACAUGAAUAACAGUUACUGAACGUCCAGCGUGUAAAAAUCAAAACCAAAACUUUACCCAAUUCUAAUCUCUGAAGAUUUAAAGAACAAAAAGGAUGAUUCAUGUUUUUAAGGUGCUUACAGCCAAGUGGGUGUUCAGAAGUGUGCAUAAAUGAUGAAUGAUUACAUUUGUAUAGUGCUUUGCAAAUUACUAAGGUCCUAUAGACUUAUUGCUUAAUCCUUACAAUAACCUGGCAAGAUAGCUCUUAGAGAUAAGAGAAAUUGAGGUAACAUAUUUAGAAAUAAGCAGUUUGAGGUAAUUUUUUUUAAAAGAAAAGCAAUUUAUUGGCAGAGCUGUAGUAAAGUCUAAGUCUUUUUUCUCUAAAUUCACUGUUCUUUCUAUACUAUAGUAUGAAUUAAGUGCUGUAAGAAUUUAAACCAGAAAGAAAGAUGAUUGUAAAAUGGGAAAAUGGUAGAGACUUCACAAGGAUAAGUGGCUUAGCUUGAUUGCUAAGGAUAAGAGAACUGACAUCACCUGACUAUCUGGCAGGGAUAAAGACAUAAACCAUUCCGUGUCAUUGAGGAAGGGGAUGUGCUGGGCCUUCUCAGGCCCACUGUGUAGCAUACCACUCUCAGGGCUCUUAACAUGGAAUGCCCUCCUGGUCACCAGGCUCUCAGUUUUUCAACCUUCUGAGUGCAUUUUUCCAAGUUGGGCAAAAUUUGAAAAACCAAGUUACAUGCAUGUGUGGGAGGAAAGAAGAAAUCUUGAUUGCUUUUUUAAUUAUUUAUUUCUUUUAAUUUUUUCAGCACAAUUGCUUCUCUUUAGAAACCUACUCCUCAUAAGAAAGGACAUUUUAAAUUGGAGCAAUAAAUAUUUACUCACUUGCAGCCUUUAGAACCAUAAUGUGCUAAUACCUUCUACAAAAGCUAAUGUCUUAAGGUGGUUUCUACCUAAGGUUAUUUAUUCUUUUGCUCGCUAUUUAAGAUUGUUCACACAUCCCCUAUACCUGAAAUAAAGUGAAAGUAUAUGUGUAUUUUUUAUCACUCUG